UUUCUUCUGCAUUGUGCCCCGUCCCCUGUCACCACUUCGGACGCUCGGCGACGAUAACGACUACAACACGAAAGAAGAGACCUCCGGCGCCUUGUUUUUUGUUGUUGUCAUUCUCAAGUAGUAGCAAUGCUUCCAUGCUUGAACGAAU
Caenorhabditis elegans is the source of this 148-nucleotide non-coding RNA. Lineage: Eukaryota; Metazoa; Nematoda; Chromadorea; Rhabditida; Rhabditidae. The record is from Ensembl.